RNAcentral lists this long non-coding RNA (2117 nucleotides) under Homo sapiens (human). Its description in RNAcentral is "HSALNT0211719". The record is from RNAcentral. Lineage: Eukaryota; Metazoa; Chordata; Mammalia; Primates; Hominidae.
GCUCAAUGCAAGGUCCGCCUCCUGGGUUCACCCCAUUCUCCUGCUUCAGUCUCCUGAGUAGCUGGGACUACAGAUGCCCGCCACCACGCCUGGCUAAUUUUGUUUUUGUACUUUUAGUAGAGAUGGGGUUUCACCGUGUUAGCCAAGAUGGUCUUAAUCUUCUGACCUUGUGAUCCGCCCACCUCGGCCUCCCAAAGUGUUGGGAUUACAGGCAGGAGCCACCGCACCUGGCCUCAACUUCUUUUUUAACUUAUGAAUUGUUUAUUUCCGGAAUUUUCCAUUUAAUAUUUUUGAACCACAGCUGACUGAGGCAUGCACCAGAUCUGUCAUUUCUGGAAUCUUGUGCGAAUUGUGUAUCAACUUGAGGGUGAGUGCUCGUGGGUUGUUGUGGUGGGCAAAUGAGGCUAUGUGGAGAACUUAGCAAUGUUUUCAAAGAGACCUUGCCACACAGAUGCUUUCAGAAUUUAAAUGACUCAGAAAGUUGUUUACUUUUGGCCCAAAGCCAAUGUCUUCUGGAGGUAGUGAGUGCUGCUUUGGAUGGGUUGGGAUCAGCAGAGCAUCUACCACAGAAAUUCUAACAAAAUGAGGGUUGGACCUGUGAUAAGGGCAGCGUCAGCAGCAAGGGCCUCUAGAGGCUUGGUCACCACAACUAUAAAUCUUUCAUGUAGUCGAACUUCCUGCUUUCACUUCACAGGGCCACUCACGGACUUGUCAUCUGCUCUCACCAGGACUUCAGAGGAUCUCAAUGCUGCUGUUCUCACAGCCUGACAGGGACAAAAUAACAGGAAACUUGCAAAUUUGUCUUUAUUCUUGCUUAUGGUAUGGCUAGAAAAUGUUUGAAUUAAUAUGAGAAAUAUAAAGAUCUAUCAUAACCUCCUUUUUUGUAGGUGGGGCUACUUUUCCUUCCUUAAUAGUUACCCUUCUGCUGAGGCCCCCUAUGGGAAACACCAAUCUUUAAGGGACUUAAUCCCUUUUUCCAAACUUCCCUGGGCCAGUGCCCAAAUGGUCUAUACAUUGUCUGUUAAAUCAAAGAAACCAGCUUUCUUGUUUUUCUCUAUGGUUUCUUCCCAUGCAAUUGACAUCUUACAGUGCAACAUGGAAAUUUGAAAUAAAGGCACACCAUUGCACAUCUAAGUUGAGAUCUAGAGACGGUGGUUUGGAGUGAAGUUCUAAUUAAUAGGAGAAAUGGGAUUGCUAACUUUGGCUUUUCCCAGGGAUCCUUAAGGUCUGGGACAGAUCCCCCAUUGGUCUAGAGGAGUUAGGGUUAAUUGUAGUCCUGCUUGGAGACAAAGGUACUAAAAUGUGACUACUGGCUUUUUCAGCUAUAAAAUUGAAGAGUCUCUGCAUGGUCUGUUCCAGGCAUCUCCCUGAGCCAGCCCAAGGAACUGCCUUUAGGUCUCUUCCUUAUCCCUUCUCUCUCUCACGCCUUCUUUUGUUCCCUGCCCUUCUUCCUGGCCUCUCUCUCUUACUUUCAUUUCUUCUGGCAAUUAGUGGACAAGCCAGAAGAAAACAAUUAAGAUGGUCAUCAAUUUGGGCAGUAUUCUGUUCACACUUAUUUGAGACUUGUUCUGUAGUAUAUGUGAACAUACUCAGGACGUAAAUGAAAUAGAAUAGUGAGCCAGAAAAUUGUGAUAAAUAAAGGUGCUUCUACCCAUAUUUUGUUUACAUUCUGGGUGGUGCAUGAGAUUAAAAGCUGUGAGACUUUGCAAAUAGAAUGAGGUAGAUGACUAGUUUUUGCUGUGCAUAAGGUCAACAAUAUCACCCAACAAAUAGCCAGCUCCUUGCCACACUCCCUUCCUUCAUUCUAGUCAUCUAUCUUACAAGCAUAAUUGAAUUAGAUCCUCAUAAAAGUCUUACAAGGCACAUACUACUGAUGGUAGUGGAGGCCUGUCUGGAGCGGCUGCUGCCAUGAUGCUGGCUUCAGGGGGUGAGGCAUGGCCAGGGCUGCACACUCCAAAGAGCCAGCAGGAGCCGGGAAAAGGCAGAAGCCCUGGCAGGGCAGGAACCUUGUGCUCCCUGGGAGCAGCUGCGGCCAUCCAGCUGUGGCUGUGGACCUGGGCAUCCCUGUGCUCUUGGGAGCUGGGAUUGGGCAGGAGCCCUGCCCUUCUGGAGUGUAG